UUGAACGCUGGCGGAAUGCUUUACACAUGCAAGUCGAGCGGCAGCGCGGGGGCAACCCUGGCGGCGAGCGGCGAACGGGUGAGUAAUACAUCGGAACGUACCCAGUUGUGGGGGAUAGCCCGGCGAAAGCCGGAUUAAUACCGCAUAAGUCCUGAGGGAGAAAGCGGGGGACCGUAAGGCCUCGCGCGAUUGGAGCGGCUGAUGUCGGAUUAGCUAGUUGGUGGGGUAAAGGCCUACCAAGGCGACGAUCCGUAGCUGGUCUGAGAGGAUGAUCAGCCACACUGGGACUGAGACACGGCCCAGACUCCUACGGGAGGCAGCAGUGGGGAAUUUUGGACAAUGGGCGCAAGCCUGAUCCAGCCAUGCCGCGUGAGUGAAGAAGGCCUUCGGGUUGUAAAGCUCUUUCAGCAGGAGCGAAACGGUCGUUUUUAAUACAGACGGCUAAUGACGGUACCUGCAGAAGAAGCACCGGCUAACUACGU
Molecule: ribosomal RNA, 482 nt
Filed under: uncultured bacterium
Lineage: Bacteria
Description: bacterial SSU rRNA
Rfam family: Bacterial small subunit ribosomal RNA
Source: RNAcentral